RNAcentral lists this transfer-messenger RNA (352 nucleotides) under Oscillospiraceae. RNAcentral's name for it is "Ruminiclostridium_E sp900556525 Standard tmRNA". It matches the Rfam family "transfer-messenger RNA". From Rfam's summary of the family: Bacterial tmRNA, also known as 10Sa RNA or SsrA, is named for its dual tRNA and mRNA-like properties. Its role is to liberate the mRNA from a stalled ribosome. RNAcentral also lists the same sequence under 1 other name. Lineage: Bacteria; Bacillati; Bacillota; Clostridia; Eubacteriales. The record is from RNAcentral.
GGGGUCGUAAAGGUUUCGACGGGGAUGAUGAAGCCCGUUAAGCACGCGGAGUUCGCCUAAACUCCUCAAAAAGGGCACUUUUAAAAUUAAACGCAGACAAUAGAUCUGAAUUAGUAGCUGCCUAAGUGCAGCUUCCGUCCGACCGGAGAGCGCUGCGGCUCUGAUUCGGGCGUCGACUAGCAGCCAACGUCUUGGGUGAGCGUCCUGUAGCCCCUGCCGUAACUAAAGGGCUGCCAAAGGGUGAUCCUGUCAAUCGGAGCGCCUCGCGGGAGAUUUAAAAGAUUGAAUAAGCGUGUAGAAAGACGUGUGGAUUUGUUUUCGGACGGGGGUUCGACUCCCCCCGAUUCCACCA